RNAcentral lists this ribosomal RNA (863 nucleotides) under Bacillus paralicheniformis. RNAcentral's name for it is "bacterial SSU rRNA". It matches the Rfam family "Bacterial small subunit ribosomal RNA", at positions 22 to 865 of the family's 1533-position model. The record is from RNAcentral. Lineage: Bacteria; Bacillati; Bacillota; Bacilli; Caryophanales; Bacillaceae.
GCUCAGGACGAACGCUGGCGGCGUGCCUAAUACAUGCAAGUCGAGCGGACAGAUGGGAGCUUGCUCCCUGAUGUUAGCGGCGGACGGGUGAGUAACACGUGGGUAACCUGCCUGUAAGACUGGGAUAACUCCGGGAAACCGGGGCUAAUACCGGAUGCUUGAUUGAACCGCAUGGUUCAAUUAUAAAAGGUGGCUUUUAGCUACCACUUACAGAUGGACCCGCGGCGCAUUAGCUAGUUGGUGAGGUAACGGCUCACCAAGGCAACGAUGCGUAGCCGACCUGAGAGGGUGAUCGGCCACACUGGGACUGAGACACGGCCCAGACUCCUACGGGAGGCAGCAGUAGGGAAUCUUCCGCAAUGGACGAAAGUCUGACGGAGCAACGCCGCGUGAGUGAUGAAGGUUUUCGGAUCGUAAAACUCUGUUGUUAGGGAAGAACAAGUACCGUUCGAAUAGGGCGGUACCUUGACGGUACCUAACCAGAAAGCCACGGCUAACUACGUGCCAGCAGCCGCGGUAAUACGUAGGUGGCAAGCGUUGUCCGGAAUUAUUGGGCGUAAAGCGCGCGCAGGCGGUUUCUUAAGUCUGAUGUGAAAGCCCCCGGCUCAACCGGGGAGGGUCAUUGGAAACUGGGGAACUUGAGUGCAGAAGAGGAGAGUGGAAUUCCACGUGUAGCGGUGAAAUGCGUAGAGAUGUGGAGGAACACCAGUGGCGAAGGCGACUCUCUGGUCUGUAACUGACGCUGAGGCGCGAAAGCGUGGGGAGCGAACAGGAUUAGAUACCCUGGUAGUCCACGCCGUAAACGAUGAGUGCUAAGUGUUAGAGGGUUUCCGCCCUUUAGUGCUGCAGCAAACGCAUUAAGC